Molecule: long non-coding RNA, 1111 nt
Organism: Xenopus laevis (African clawed frog)
Lineage: Eukaryota; Metazoa; Chordata; Amphibia; Anura; Pipidae
Exons: 3
Source: RefSeq, a predicted model, not a curated record
AGAACAUCUUAAAGAAUAGAGCCUAUAUGUGUGUUAGGGUAAUAAUUAAUCAAAGACCAGACCAAUUUUGAAUGGCUAGUGUUUUCACAAGUAUAUUAUAUGUACCAAAAGUAUUAAGGAAUCAUAAAGUAUUGUUCCAGUCUCGGGCAAUGUCAACAGUAAUGUUAAACACCAGACUAAGGGGGUCAAAGGCUAUUAUGUAUUUUUUAGAUAUUUUUAGGUCACGAUGUUUGAGGCAAUAGUGCCAUCUACAGGUAGUGUAGGACAUCACGCCCAGGGGUCAAUGAUUGACAUUUUACAAAAUAUUUAGAUUAGAUGGUGAUAGUUUAACUUUUGGAGACUACCCUUCAAUUCCAGUUGGUUAGUUGAUUAAUCCCAGGGGUUGAGUUUUAGACAGAAAGGAGGGAUAAAUUAGGAUACACUGGGAUACUAAAAAGAAAGAAAAAAAAGAACUAAAAAGAAAUUAAAGAGGGAAAAGACUAAGAACAGGAGAGGAACUAAGAACUGGAAAAGAGGACUGGAAAGAGAAAAACAGACUUUUAAACUAUAAGCCAAAUUAAAGAAAAGGAUCAGAUGUCUUAAAGCUCCAAGAAGAGGUCAGGGUGACAUCACAGGCCAGUGAGAACUUACAACCGAGUGUUGUGAGUGGAGAGACUAGCAGAGAGCACUAGGAUCCUGCAGACACCAGGAGGAAAGUCACAUGGGAGGAAGGGAAGCAAGCUACAUAUCUGUGUUUGAUGCAGAGUGAUCCUGCUGGUAACUUAUACAAUGUGGAUUUUCUCCAGACUCAAAAAGAGACUCCAACAUAUUGGAUAUCUCGCACACAUUAGUGACAAAGAGAACUGUGGGAACUUUUAACAUCUAACAAGUAACUUUUAUAUAUGUAUGAAGCAUUGAAAUGGUUUAAAAGGAGCGGUAUUUAACGCUCUCUUUUAGCUAUUCUUUUACGGAGGUAUAUUGGUACAAUAUAUAUUUUGAGAGUAUAAGCGAACCUGUUGUCUAUAAAAGAGGGGAACGCACUCACUUCUUAGAAAAUGUUAACUUUAAAUAAACCCAAUAGGCUGGGUCUGCUUCUAAUAAGGAUUAAUUAUAUCUUAUUUUUGGAUCAAGU